ACCAGACCAUCUCCCGGCGCGGGUGGAAUUCCCGCGAUCUGUCUCAUUCCCUGCGCCGCCGAGAAAAGUGAGAUCCCGCGAGACUCCCAGGGGUCUCAUUCUGUCACCCAGGUUGGAGUGCAGUGGCAACAUCAUAGCUCACUGCAGCCUUGAACCCCUGGGCUCAAGUGAUCCUCCUGCUUCAGCCUCCUGAGUAGCUGGGGCUACAGGCACUUUCCCUACAUUUUCAAAGGCCUGCAUCAUCACAUCUGCCACAGCAUUCUCUAUCAUUGAGGCAUUUUCUCAGGAAAUCACCUGUGAAAUAUUUUGCAGCUAACCACCUACCUGUGCCCCACCAGCCAACAUGCUUUACUCCUGCCAGGCAGCUGUGUCACUCUGGAAGCUUUGAUCAGAAAAUUGUAGUUGCUGUUGCCUCUGAUGUGCAAGUCCAAGAUUCUUGGGCCGCAGGACAUGUUCUGCAUAUAUUCCUGGAGAAUAGACCAACAAUGAGACUGAAUCAGUAACGAAAAGUCUUCUAUGAAAGAAAAACCCAGAACCAUAUUGCUUUACUGCUUAAUUCUAAUAAACUCAUAAAGAACAACAAACACCAAUUCUUCUCAAACUAUUCCAAAAAAUUGAAGCAGGGCAGGGAGGAAUUCUUCCUAACUCAUUCUAAAAGGCCAGCAUUAUCCUGAUACCAAAACCAGACAAGGACACAGCAAAAACAGAGAACUACAGGCCAAUAUCCCUGAUGAUGCUAAAUGGAAAAAUCCUCAACAAAAUACUAGCAAAACCAAUGCAACAACACAGAAAAGAUAAUACACCAUGAUCAAAUGAGAUUUAUCCCAAGUAUGCAAUCAUGAUUCAACAUACACAAAUCAAUACUUGUGAUACAUCACAUCAACAGAGUGAAGGACCAAAAGACAUAUGAUCAUCUCAACAGAUACAGAAAAAGAUUUGAUAUGAUUCAAAAUCCCAUUAUGAUAAAAACUUUUUUUUUUUGAGACAGGGUCUCACUCUGUCACCCAGGCUGGAGUGCAGUGGCAUGAUCAUGGCUCACUGCAGCCUCGACCUCCCAGGCUUACACGAUCCUCCCACCUCAACUUUCCAAAUAGCUAGACUACAGGUGCCUGCCUGUAGUCAAGCCAUAGGUGCCAUUGCCUGGCUAAUUUUUAUAUUUUUUGUAGAGAUGGGAUUUCGCCAUGUUGUCCAGGCUGGUCUCAAAUUCUUGAGCUCAAGCAAUCUGCCCAUCUUGCCCUCCCAAAGUGAUGAGAUUAAAGGCAUAAGCCACCGCACCCAGCCUAUGAUAAAAACUUAAAUCAGGUGUACAGGAAACAUAUCUCAACAUAAUAUAGACAAUAUGUUCCAAACCCACAGCAAACAUCUUAGUGAAUGGGGAAAAGAUAAAAGUCUUUCCUCUAAGAACUGGAAGAAGAUUCGAAUGUCUACUUUCACCACUCUUAUUACCAUAGUUCAGGGAGUCCUAGUCAGAACUAUGGUAAGAGAAAAAAAUAAGGCAAGAAAAAAAAAAAAAAAA
RNAcentral lists this long non-coding RNA (1516 nucleotides) under Homo sapiens (human). RNAcentral describes it as "ZNF337 antisense RNA 1 (ZNF337-AS1)". The record is from RNAcentral. Lineage: Eukaryota; Metazoa; Chordata; Mammalia; Primates; Hominidae.